UCCAUGCAAGUCGAACGGCAGCACGGGUGCUUGCACCUGGAUGGCGAGUGGCGAACGGGUGAGUAAUACAUCGGAACAUGUCCUGUAGUGGGGGAUAGCCCGGCGAAAGCCGGAUUAAUACCGCAUACGAUCUUUGGAUGAAAGCGGGGGACCUUCGGGCCUCGCGCUAUAGGGUUGGCCGAUGGCUGAUUAGCUAGUUGGUGGGGUAAAGGCCUACCAAGGCGACGAUCAGUAGCUGGUCUGAGAGGACGACCAGCCACACUGGGACUGAGACACGGCCCAGACUCCUACGGGAGGCAGCAGUGGGGAAUUUUGGACAAUGGGCGAAAGCCUGAUCCAGCAAUGCCGCGUGUGUGAAGAAGGCCUUCGGGUUGUAAAGCACUUUUGUCCGGAAAGAAAUCCUUGGCUCUAAUACAGUCGGGGGAUGACGGUACCGGAAGAAUAAGCACCGGCUAACUACGUGCCAGCAGCCGCGGUAAUACGUAGGGUGCAAGCGUUAAUCGGAAUUACUGGGCGUAAAGCGUGCGCAGGCGGUUUGCUAAGACCGAUGUGAAAUCCCCGGGCUCAACCUGGGAACUGNAUUGGUGACUGGCAGGCUAGAGUAUGGCAGAGGGGGGUAGAAUUCCACGUGUAGCAGUGAAAUGCGUAGAGAUGUGGAGGAAUACCGAUGGCGAAGGCAGCCCCCCUGGGCCAAUACUGACGCUCAUGCACGAAAAGCGUGGGGGAGCAAACAGGAUUAGAUACCCUGGUAGUCCACNCCCUAAACNAUGUCAACUAG
This 778-nucleotide ribosomal RNA is filed under the name Burkholderia gladioli. RNAcentral's name for it is "bacterial SSU rRNA". It matches the Rfam family "Bacterial small subunit ribosomal RNA", at positions 52 to 819 of the family's 1533-position model. The record is from RNAcentral. Lineage: Bacteria; Pseudomonadati; Pseudomonadota; Betaproteobacteria; Burkholderiales; Burkholderiaceae.